This 498-nucleotide long non-coding RNA is filed under the name Anser brachyrhynchus (Pink-footed goose). RNAcentral's name for it is "lncRNA (ENSABRG00000002874.1)". Lineage: Eukaryota; Metazoa; Chordata; Aves; Anseriformes; Anatidae. The record is from RNAcentral.
GUGCCCCUACAUCCCCCAAAAUAAGUGGAAACAUCAGCCUUCGUGUCAUCUGUGUAUUAAUUUACUAUAGUACACGUGCUGCUGGGCUACCUGAAAUAUGUGGAAAGAAACAACACAAACAUCCUCACAGAGGUGACAACAACAACAACAACCAAAAAAAAAAAAAAAUUCCUUCAAGGGGGCAGGGGCAAGGAAGGAAGACUCAGCUAUUCUGUCAGGUAUACUUGGGGCAUUUUGGCACGUCCAGCUCUGUGGCCACCUGCUUUGCUGCAUUCAGGAGCUCCCACUGGCUGAGCAGAUCCACACCACAUCAGUGACAUCCAUCCUGUCCCAACAGACAGGUCCCCAUGACCACAGAGCUCCUCUAUAGUUUCCACUCAGCCCAGGUGCCAAAACAUGCACGGCUGCAUCUUGAACAAACCAAAGCCUUUCACUGCACACCUGGGAAGUCAGCACUCCAAAAAUAAAAAUAAAUACAAAGGUUUACUCCUGAAGAAU